Gigantopelta aegis is the source of this 126-nucleotide small nuclear RNA. RefSeq annotates it as U4atac minor spliceosomal RNA. NCBI's taxonomy places the organism in Eukaryota, Metazoa, Mollusca, Gastropoda, Neomphalida, Peltospiridae. The transcript has a single exon. The record is from RefSeq and is a predicted model, not a curated record.
AUCGUCCUAUUUGAGGGAUGCACAACCAUGCCAGGGAUCGCUAAGUGAGGCAUGUUCUGCUGACACCCUAUAUGCAACACAAAGAGGUGUUUUACUAAUAUGUGAAACGUCUCAAUUUUUGGAGGC